GAGAGAGAGGGUUGGGGGGUGGGGUGAUGGGUGGAGGCAGAGGCGAGAUGGACUGACUGCUAGACCGGAAGGACCAUGCUGCCUGCUCCCGGAAGUGCGUCACGGUGAAAGCGCCCUAUACCUGACACUGGGGGAUCGUUCAUGAAGACGCCGAGACCGCAACUGUAUCCAAAGGAUCAUAAAUCUUUUAAGUGUUAAGAGCAACAUGGUUUUGAUAAAAGGAGCCGAAAGGGAGCAGCCUGAUCUCCCCACAUGGAACCUCGUGGCCCACUUGACUCAAACGGAGCAGCAAAGGCCUCAGCAAAGUCAAAACCUUUUGAAAUGUAGAACCUGCCAAAGGAUGAAUUGACGAUGAAUGCAGGACCUCAUGUCGAAGGAGAAUGGCAGUCAGUCAAAACCAUUUGAAAUGUAGAACCUGCCCAGAGACUGAUGGUGAUUGCAAGACGUCAUGGGAGUAGGAAAAUGGCAGUCAGAUCCCAGGUGAAGUGCUGUAGUCCCAAGAACAGGCAAUACAAUUGGAAGGAUGUGGUCUUCAAAUCCAAUUUUUAGGCCACUGUCAGAAAUUCUUUUUGUAACUCAAUAUUCUUUAUGCAAGGAGCAACCAGAUGUGGAACUGAAAGAGAGUACACUGCAUCUUCUGUUAUGACUUCAGUGUAAUUGAUGCCGUUUUUUGGUGUAAGGAGUGCUUUUCCAAGUUGAGCACCCGCUUCAGUGCUUAUCGCAAUGUACUCAAUUCACCUUUAUCAAAAUGAUUUUAAAAACUGAUAUGUUGAUACUUGAUGCAAACUCUUCUGUGGGGGGGAGAUUGACUUGAGUCCAAAAGCAAAUGCCUCUGCAUUUAAAUGCAAAUUCAUUUGAGUUUGCAUCUCCACUUCAUCAAGUGGAAUCCAAAUGAAAUGAGCGACUUCAUGGUUUCCAUACACAAGUGGAGUCCGAAUGAUCCUCGGCAAGUCCAAACGAAUACAGCCCUCGUUCCUCGGUAACCUGCUGCCCAUAUCUUUUGUGGACAGUCAGUCUUUCCACACAAUCUGGCUAUCAAAUACGACGGUCAAACCAUUUAUGCAGACGUUAACUGAACGCUACCAGUCACUGCACAAAAAUAUUCAACUGUGCCCAAUCCGUGUGUCGAUUAACUGCUGAUAUCUGAUCGAACAGACCAGCGUGCUUUCGCUGUUACUGGGCAUGUGGUAAUGGACUACACCUUGAAAUCCGUUCUGCUUGAAUGUAGGCGGAUACCAGGCCAUCACACAUUCACCAGUACUAUGAGGAAAUCACCGAAUCCUUUUUUAUUGGCAAUAAGAUUACCACUAUUGUUACUGACAGCGCAACCAAUAUGGUGGCCGCCUUCAGUCUGCCUGGGUUUAUUGCCACACUGGUUAACAACGACAAGAAUGGCUUGGGAGCCUCCGAUAUUGAUUCUGAGGCUGAUGCUAAGGUUCAGCCCACCUCAAACACACCAACCAGUGACAAACUGAUGGAGAACAUGCCAGCUCACCAGCGGUGUUUUAAUCAAGCUCUGCAUCUGAUUCUUAAUGAAGCCAGAUGGAAUAGGCAAAUCAUUACCAAAAUUUCUGCAAUCGUCUCUCAUAUCAGAAAAUCUGCUAUGCUACUGCUAUUCUGGAGAAACACCUAUACAAGCCCAAAUGGUUCUCGAUCCUAAGUUUAAACUGCGAUGGUGUGCUUAACCAGAAAGGCCCUGAAACAAGACCUGGUCCGAGCAUUAUCAUAACCACGAAAAGGCGACGCACCUGCAAAUAGCACAGGUCCUCCAGUGAUAUGGAGGCUGAAACCCGCACUAGAUUAAACCGAAGUAGACGAAUACCUAUGGGAGGCUGCUCUGCCUUUUGCAGCUGACCCGUUCAACUACUGGAGAGACAACCAGCUGGGGUUCCCUCGUUUGCUGCUGUAAGCAAGAUAUUAUUUGUGUGUACCCUCUUCAUCCAGUGCUGUAGAAAGAGUUUUCAGUUAUUGCAGGGAAGAUAUUUAAUCCAGAAAGAGCCCAAAUCACUGACGAGAAUUUUGGUAUGCAACUUUUUAUUAAAUGCAGUGAGUUUUGUGUGUGAACUUGUGAUAAUUUUGACAGGUUUUGACUCUUGUAUUGACUUUUACGUGUAAAGAUGUGGAUUGUAAAUGCUCUUUUAAGUGCUGCAUUUUUUCUGCCUGAAUAGAAAAUGCCACAUGGGCAUCCAGGACAUUGGUAAAUACAUUUGAAUUUGCAUGUGUACAUUUACAGGAUACGUGCAUUUGCAUUCAAAAUACAUUUGCCUACAUUUGAGGCCAAGUCUGGUCUCGAUCCUAUUCACCCAUGUUAAACUUUAUAAGAAAUGUCAAAAUAAAGUGUGUCAUUCUUGGUCUUUCAUUAGGUUGAACAAAAUAAAACAAUAUCUGAAUC
Molecule: long non-coding RNA, 2392 nt
Organism: Callorhinchus milii (elephant shark)
Lineage: Eukaryota; Metazoa; Chordata; Chondrichthyes; Chimaeriformes; Callorhinchidae
Exons: 5
Source: RefSeq, a predicted model, not a curated record